Molecule: ribosomal RNA, 449 nt
Filed under: uncultured bacterium
Lineage: Bacteria
Description: partial 16S ribosomal RNA
Rfam family: Bacterial small subunit ribosomal RNA
Source: RNAcentral
AACGAACGCUGGCGGCAGGCCUAACACAUGCAAGUCGAACGCUGUAGCAAUACAGAGUGGCAGACGGGUGAGUAACGCGUGGGAACCUUCCCAAUGGUACGGAAUAGCCCAGGGAAACUUGGGGUAAUACCGUAUACGCCCCUAGGGGGAAAGAUUUAUCGCCAUUGGAUGGGCCCGCGUCGGAUUAGCUAGUUGGUGAGGUAAUGGCUCACCAAGGCAACGAUCCGUAGCUGGUUUGAGAGAAUGACCAGCCACACUGGGACUGAGACACGGCCCAGACUCCUACGGGAGGCAGCAGUGGGGAAUCUUGGACAAUGGGCGCAAGCCUGAUCCAGCCAUGCCGCGUGAGUGACGAAGGCCUAGGGGUUGUAAAGCUCUUUUGCCGGGGACGAUAAUGACGGUACCCGGAGAAUAAGUCCCGGCUAACUUCGUGCCAGCAGCCGCCGUAA